GGGUUGUGAGGUUAAGCGACUAAGCGUACACGGUGGAUGCCCUGGCAGUCAGAGGCGAUGAAGGACGUGCUAAUCUGCGAUAAGCGUCGGUAAGGUGAUAUGAACCGUUAUAACCGGCGAUUUCCGAAUGGGGAAACCCAGUGUGAUUCGUCACACUAUCAUUAACUGAAUCCAUAGGUUAAUGAGGCGAACCGGGGGAACUGAAACAUCUAAGUACCCCGAGGAAAAGAAAUCAACCGAGAUUCCCCCAGUAGCGGCGAGCGAACGGGGAGCAGCCCAGAGCCUGAAUCAGUGUGUGUGUUAGUGGAAGCGUCUGGAAAGGCGCGCGAUACAGGGUGACAGCCCCGUACACAAAAAUGCACAUACUGUGAGCUCGAUGAGUAGGGCGGGACACGUGGUAUCCUGUCUGAAUAUGGGGGGACCAUCCUCCAAGGCUAAAUACUCCUGACUGACCGAUAGUGAACCAGUACCGUGAGGGAAAGGCGAAAAGAACCCCGGCGAGGGGAGUGAAAAAGAACCUGAAACCGUGUACGUACAAGCAGUGGGAGCACAGAGCAAUCUGUGUGACUGCGUACCUUUUGUAUAAUGGGUCAGCGACUUAUAUUCUGUAGCAAGGUUAACCGAAUAGGGGAGCCGAAGGGAAACCGAGUCUUAACUGGGCGUUAAGUUGCAGGGUAUAGACCCGAAACCCGGUGAUCUAGCCAUGGGCAGGUUGAAGGUUGGGUAACACUAACUGGAGGACCGAACCGACUAAUGUUGAAAAAUUAGCGGAUGACUUGUGGCUGGGGGUGAAAGGCCAAUCAAACCGGGAGAUAGCUGGUUCUCCCCGAAAGCUAUUUAGGUAGCGCCUCGUGAAUUCAUCUCCGGGGGUAGAGCACUGUUUCGGCAAGGGGGUCAUCCCGACUUACCAACCCGAUGCAAACUGCGAAUACCGGAGAAUGUUAUCACGGGAGACACACGGCGGGUGCUAACGUCCGUCGUGAAGAGGGAAACAACCCAGACCGCCAGCUAAGGUCCCAAAGUCAUGGUUAAGUGGGAAACGAUGUGGGAAGGCCCAGACAGCCAGGAUGUUGGCUUAGAAGCAGCCAUCAUUUAAAGAAAGCGUAAUAGCUCACUGGUCGAGUCGGCCUGCGCGGAAGAUGUAACGGGGCUAAACCAUGCACCGAAGCUGCGGCAGCGACGCUGAUGCGUUGUUGGGUAGGGGAGCGUUCUGUAAGCCUGCGAAGGUGUGCUGUGAGGCAUGCUGGAGGUAUCAGAAGUGCGAAUGCUGACAUAAGUAACGAUAAAGCGGGUGAAAAGCCCGCUCGCCGGAAGACCAAGGGUUCCUGUCCAACGUUAAUCGGGGCAGGGUGAGUCGACCCCUAAGGCGAGGCCGAAAGGCGUAGUCGAUGGGAAACAGGUUAAUAUUCCUGUACUUGGUGUUACUGCGAAGGGGGGACGGAGAAGGCUAUGUUGGCCGGGCGACGGUUGUCCCGGUUUAAGCGUGUAGGCUGGUUUUCCAGGCAAAUCCGGAAAAUCAAGGCUGAGGCGUGAUGACGAGGCACUACGGUGCUGAAGCAACAAAUGCCCUGCUUCCAGGAAAAGCCUCUAAGCAUCAGGUAACAUCAAAUCGUACCCCAAACCGACACAGGUGGUCAGGUAGAGAAUACCAAGGCGCUUGAGAGAACUCGGGUGAAGGAACUAGGCAAAAUGGUGCCGUAACUUCGGGAGAAGGCACGCUGAUAUGUAGGUGAAGUCCCUCGCGGAUGGAGCUGAAAUCAGUCGAAGAUACCAGCUGGCUGCAACUGUUUAUUAAAAACACAGCACUGUGCAAACACGAAAGUGGACGUAUACGGUGUGACGCCUGCCCGGUGCCGGAAGGUUAAUUGAUGGGGUUAGCGCAAGCGAAGCUCUUGAUCGAAGCCCCGGUAAACGGCGGCCGUAACUAUAACGGUCCUAAGGUAGCGAAAUUCCUUGUCGGGUAAGUUCCGACCUGCACGAAUGGCGUAAUGAUGGCCAGGCUGUCUCCACCCGAGACUCAGUGAAAUUGAACUCGCUGUGAAGAUGCAGUGUACCCGCGGCAAGACGGAAAGACCCCGUGAACCUUUACUAUAGCUUGACACUGAACAUUGAGCCUUGAUGUGUAGGAUAGGUGGGAGGCUUUGAAGUGUGGACGCCAGUCUGCAUGGAGCCGACCUUGAAAUACCACCCUUUAAUGUUUGAUGUUCUAACGUUGACCCGUAAUCCGGGUUGCGGACAGUGUCUGGUGGGUAGUUUGACUGGGGCGGUCUCCUCCUAAAGAGUAACGGAGGAGCACGAAGGUUGGCUAAUCCUGGUCGGACAUCAGGAGGUUAGUGCAAUGGCAUAAGCCAGCUUGACUGCGAGCGUGACGGCGCGAGCAGGUGCGAAAGCAGGUCAUAGUGAUCCGGUGGUUCUGAAUGGAAGGGCCAUCGCUCAACGGAUAAAAGGUACUCCGGGGAUAACAGGCUGAUACCGCCCAAGAGUUCAUAUCGACGGCGGUGUUUGGCACCUCGAUGUCGGCUCAUCACAUCCUGGGGCUGAAGUAGGUCCCAAGGGUAUGGCUGUUCGCCAUUUAAAGUGGUACGCGAGCUGGGUUUAGAACGUCGUGAGACAGUUCGGUCCCUAUCUGCCGUGGGCGCUGGAGAACUGAGGGGGGCUGCUCCUAGUACGAGAGGACCGGAGUGGACGCAUCACUGGUGUUCGGGUUGUCAUGCCAAUGGCACUGCCCGGUAGCUAAAUGCGGAAGAGAUAAGUGCUGAAAGCAUCUAAGCACGAAACUUGCCCCGAGAUGAGUUCUCCCUGACUCCUUGAGAGUCCUGAAGGAACGUUGAAGACGACGACGUUGAUAGGCCGGGUGUGUAAGCGCAGCGAUGCGUUGAGCUAACCGGUACUAAUGAACCGUGAGGCUUAACCUUACAACGCCGAAGGUGUUU
Molecule: ribosomal RNA, 2933 nt
Filed under: Escherichia coli
Lineage: Bacteria; Pseudomonadati; Pseudomonadota; Gammaproteobacteria; Enterobacterales; Enterobacteriaceae
Description: bacterial LSU rRNA
Rfam family: Bacterial large subunit ribosomal RNA
Source: RNAcentral